AACAAACAGAGGGAGGAGAGCCCAGCUUGCUCAUAAUGCUCUCUGCUGUUCCAGGGCCGGCCCCAGGGCUCACUGGGAGGGCUCAGGGCGACGCAGGGCUCCCUGGCGCCUGUCUGCAGGGAGGAAAGCCUUCCUCGGAAGGCGCCUUCUGACUGAAGGGCUUGGGGCCUCAGGGUUACCGGUUCUACUGGCAAGAUGUGGCCCCAGAAAGCUUCUGGCUUGUGAUACAGAAAUGGCCAAAAUACUUCCUUUCAAGCUUUCUGUGUACUGGAAACCCUCCUUGACUAAUUAGGACCCGCCUCUCUGAAAUUCCUGAAUCUGCGGCAUUAAUUAAACAGAGAGAAGCGUUUUCUCCCCAUAAAGCAGGAGAACUGGAAUAAUAUAGCGCAGGAAUUCAGGUGUAAUGGAUGGUACUCCAGUAGCCAUUUUGGACCAUGAGAUGACCUUUGGAAUGGAAGCUGCAUGUGGCAAAGCAAACUUCACAAGGAGCCUGGGUUUCUGUCACCAAACCAUCCCUGAACUGCUUAGCUCUGGACUUAUUACAAUAGAGAGACCUAAAUAUUUGCCCUACUUAAGCCACUGUUAUUUUGGGUUUUCUCUUCCUUUGGCCAAACUUAAUUCUAAAUAAUGUAGCAUCCACUGGGCACUUCACAUCCACUGUCUCACAGAACAUCUGCAACGCCUCUGUGAAGUUCCAGAACUGCUCGUCCCAUCCCCAGUCGUGCUCCACCCCAAUCCACUCUCUCAGGAAUGGCCUGAUUGAAUCUUCCCACAUAAAUCGCCUCACAGCACCUCUGCAUGGAAUCUUUCCAUGGUGUUUUGGUUAUCUAAUGCUAGAUAACAAAUCACCUCAAAACACUGGCUUAAGAAACAAUAAUUUCAGCUUCUGUUGGUCAGGAAUUCGGGAAGGAGUCAGACUGGCAGCUCUCACCUGGGGUCUCUCGAAUGGUUGCAGUCGGAAGUUGGCUGGGGCGGGCUGCCGUCACCUGGAGACCAGACAGGGCUCUCCAUCCAUAGAGCAUCCAUAGAGCGCCCCUCAGAUGGCUCGCCCACACACCCGGGGAAGCUGCUGGUAGCUGGGGGCGGGGACCUCAGCUCCUGCCCACGUGGCCUUCUCUGCAGGGCUGCUGAGUGUCCUCUGGGCAUGGAGGCUGGCUUCCCCCAGAGGGAGCAAUCGCAGGCAUGAGGUGGAAGCUGCGUUGCCUUGUAUGCCCUGGCCGUGGAAUCACACCCCAUCACUUCCACCCUGUUCUCGUGGUUGGGGAAGUUGCUCGUAUCUGGCUGGGGUCGAGGGGAG
This 1297-nucleotide long non-coding RNA is filed under the name Equus caballus (horse). Its description in RNAcentral is "lncRNA (ENSECAG00000029959.2)". Lineage: Eukaryota; Metazoa; Chordata; Mammalia; Perissodactyla; Equidae. The record is from RNAcentral.